Long non-coding RNA from Gadus morhua (Atlantic cod), 2319 nucleotides. The record is from Ensembl. Lineage: Eukaryota; Metazoa; Chordata; Actinopteri; Gadiformes; Gadidae.
GGACUCUGCUGAUAACGCAGAUUACCAGACAACUCGUCGAAUAGUCAGUGGCACCCAAGUUUCAGCUGUGAGCCAAUGGAGGAGCCAGUGGUAGCAGGACCUGGGGCCAGUCUGCUGGUUAACCGAGGAACGACUCUUAACAACACACUUUGGGAGGAAGUUACCAAGUCGUGCCGGGACAGACAUGGACGCUGGACCAACCCCUGGCCCACAUGGCAGUUCCCUUCCAAUGCCAGGCUGCUCAAGUUCCUGCUGUGGGACACAGACAACAGCAACGUGCCAACCAGCAAAGAGAUGGCCGAAACAAGUGGCUACACGACGGGGGGGAUGUCGCAGGACUCCACCCUCAUCCUGUCCAGAACUGAGGAGGCCCCCGCUCCCCAGCUGCGUCCCCAGCUGGCUCCGCAGCCCCCUCCUCAGCCUGCUCCCCCUCAACUACCCCCGGCUGAGGAGGGGGACGAGGAGGGAUAUUUGGGAGAUGAUGAGGGGGAUGAUUGAAUUAUUUUUUUAUGUUUGUUUUUGUAUAUAGUUGUGUGGUUUCGUUUAAAUAAUAAUAAAAUCGUUUUUAUUAUAAAAUUGGUGUGGAAGGUUUUCUCUUAAAUAAGGGUUAGUGUUAAGAUGGGAUAGCCACUCGGGUUAAGGUUAGGGAAUAAGGCUAAAGGUUAAGGUAAGGAUUUAGAUAAGUGGUAGGGAUAGCUACUCGGGUUAAGGUUAGGGAAUAAGGCUAAAGGUUAAGGUUAGGAUUUAGAUCAGUGGUGGGGAUAGCCACUCGGGUUAAGGUUAGGGAAUAAGGCUAAAGGUUAAGGUUAGGAUUAAGAUUAGGUUAAGGGUUAGGAUUAAGAUUAAGAUUAAGGGUAGGGUUAGGUUAAGAGCAUUUUACCACUUUUGAAAAACGUUUUUUUUUUAGCUUUUUUUUCAUACCUUCUUUUUUCUGGGCUCGGUCCGACCCUGAAUCUGCAAGAAUUAUGUUUCUAGCCCCUUCCUAGGCCGAGAAAAUAACUUAAAACCGAUCAAAAAUUUUCUUUUUUUUUUUUCUUUUUUUUUUCAUACCUUUUUUUUGCUGGGCUUGGUCCGACCCUGAAUCUGCAAGAAUUAUGUUUCUAGCCCCUUCCUAGGCCGAGAAAAUAGCUUAAAACCAAUUAGGGCUAGGGUUAGGGUAGGUUAAGAGCCAUCUACCACUUUUGAAAAACGGUUUUUUUGGGCUAGUUCGAGAACCGAGUGGAUCAUGGGAAUUCUUUUACCACCCACGGAUAGGUCUAGGACCAGCGGACUUGCUCAAAAAAUGUGGCGCCCCUGGUGUUUUUUUUGGGUACUGCAAUUUCAAUUUUUAAGUUUAAAAGUGAAGCGUUUUUCUUUCUUAUUGGAUCAUGGGAAUUCUGAAUAGUGCCAGUUGUAGCCCUUGGUCCCCUCUACAUCCCCUAGAAAUUUGGUGCAAUUUGGAGCCCCAAGUUUUAACAUUGGACGACUUUUAAAAUCGACCUCACGGGGGAAGGGGGUGGAUCAUGGGAUCGUGGUUGGGGUUGGGUGGUAGGAUUUUAUGAGGCCGACCUUUGUGCAAAAUUUUGGCCACCUGGUGGCUUGUUUUGGUAUAGAAAAUCCCAUUUUCAUUUUUUUUUUUUUUUUUUCUAAGUGUGGAGUCAACAAAAUUUGUUAGUGAAAAAAUAAGUUCCCACAGAAAGUGUCUAGGAGCACGUUUUAGGGUUAGGGUUAGGGUUAGGGUUAGGGUUAAGGUUUGAGGCCAAUUUAACAUGGAGUUUAAUACCCGAUUUGGAAAGUCAAGAUUCAGCUCGACUGACCCCCCUCCAAUUUGGACUUUUUGACAGAGUGUCACCAUUGAAGUAGUUUAAAGUCGGACCUUCGAAGUCUGAAGUUGGACCCUGGAUUUGGAUGUUGAAGUUGGAUGCUCGAAUUUGGAUGCUGAAUUUGGAUGUUGGAAAUUUGUACUCCCGUACUAAAGGGCGGCAGCACUGAGUCCAAAAAAUGUACGUCUGGAUUUGGAAGUGUAAUUCGAAAAACCUCUAGGGGCAGUAGUGCUCCAUGGUAAAACUAAACAUCAGUAAUUUGGAAGUUGAAAAUGUAUUCAAACACUAAGUCCACCGACAGCAAUCGGUUCAUGUCUACGAUUUGGAAGUUGGAAGUAGGUACAUUUCCUGAAGUUGGAAGUUGGAAGUAGGUUAAAAAUCAAUGUAUAAUCUAAGUCCACCAACAGCAAUUGGCUGAUGUCUACAAUUUGGAAGUUGGAAGUAGGUAAAUGUCCUGAAGUUGGAAGUUGGUUAAAAAUCAAUGCAUAGUCUAAGUUUUGUCAGAAUUUUUGUCAGA